GGGCUGCUGGCGCAACGGUAGCGCGUUCGACUCCAGAUCGAAAGGUUAUCCGUUUAAAUCGGGUGUGGCCCA
RNAcentral lists this transfer RNA (72 nucleotides) under Colletotrichum lupini. RNAcentral's name for it is "tRNA-Trp". It matches the Rfam family "tRNA". From Rfam's summary of the family: Transfer RNA (tRNA) molecules are approximately 80 nucleotides in length. Their secondary structure includes four short double-helical elements and three loops (D, anti-codon, and T loops). Lineage: Eukaryota; Fungi; Ascomycota; Sordariomycetes; Glomerellales; Glomerellaceae. The record is from RNAcentral.